GGAACUGGGCUUGUUUAGCUUGAAGGAGAGAACGCUCCAGGGAGACCUCAUUGUGGCCUUCCAGUACUUCAAGGGAACAUAUAAACAGGAAGGGGAAUGGCUGUUUACAAGGGUAGAUAGUGAUAGGACAAGGGGGAAUGGUCUUAAACUGAGACAGGGGAGGUUAUUUCCUGAAGAAAUAACCAUCAUUAAAUUGCAUUCUGCAUUUUACCAGAAAGCUUCCACCUCAGCUGUGCUGUCAAAAUGGGGGAGAAAUACAUGUGAAGCUGGUGGUAGAAAAUCUUUUUGUGAAUUUCUUCAGAAGUGAGUAUGCUUUUCAAGAAUAGAGCAAAAGGAUAAAUGGGCACAGAUUCUGUGUCGUGCAUGGAUACAGGAGCAGAUGAACUGGGAUCUACAUAAGCUAAGGACUCUAUGUUUUGUUUCCUCUUAACUCUUCUACUAUUCGUACUUCCCAACAUAAGCCAUUUUUCCUUGUAAGAAGUGUUUUUUUCUUUACAGAGCUAUUUACCAAUGGCAGCAAACACCUGUUUCCAAGACAGCAAUUUUCAGAUUUCAAAUUUCUUAACAUUUUUUAAAGACGUAGAGUUGUAUACCCCAAAAAUUAGAAUAUCAUCUAAGAGCCAUUUUUUGCAAUUUGUGAAAAUUAAGCAUCAAGAAAAAUAAUGCCCAAAAAAUAACUUCUCUUCAGAAUCUUCAGAAUCGUAGUCAACAGUUAUUGUCUGGAGAGUAUCUUCUGUGUGUAUGUCACUUCAUGUCUGAAAGUUAAAGCUGUAUGUCAGUUGUCUUAUGCUUCAUAAAGUAUGUUUUACCUCUUAAGCAGAAACAAUAUACUGAGUCUUCUCAGCAACGGCAGCAGCUGGUAAGAAAGGCGUAUGUAUGUAAGCAGC
This 887-nucleotide long non-coding RNA is filed under the name Gallus gallus (chicken). RNAcentral's name for it is "long non-coding RNA NONGGAT011889". Lineage: Eukaryota; Metazoa; Chordata; Aves; Galliformes; Phasianidae. The record is from RNAcentral.